RNAcentral lists this transfer RNA (74 nucleotides) under Agathis dammara. Its description in RNAcentral is "tRNA-Met". It matches the Rfam family "tRNA". Rfam says of the family: Transfer RNA (tRNA) molecules are approximately 80 nucleotides in length. The record is from RNAcentral. Lineage: Eukaryota; Viridiplantae; Streptophyta; Pinopsida; Araucariales; Araucariaceae.
AGCGGGGUUGAGUAAUUGGUCAACUCAUCAGGCUCAUGCCCUGAGGACUGCAGGUUCGAACCCUGCCCCCGCGA